RNAcentral lists this ribosomal RNA (255 nucleotides) under uncultured bacterium. RNAcentral's name for it is "partial 16S ribosomal RNA". It matches the Rfam family "Bacterial small subunit ribosomal RNA", at positions 524 to 776 of the family's 1533-position model. The record is from RNAcentral.
UACGUAGGGGGCAAGCGUUGUCCGGAUUUAUUGGGCGUAAAGAGCGUGUAGGCGGCCUGAAAGGUCAGCUGUGAAAACUCGAGGCUCAACCUCGAGACGUCGGUUGAAACCAUUUGGCUAGAGUCCGGAAGAGGAGUGUGGAAUUCCCGGUGUAGCGGUGAAAUGCGCAGAUAUCGGGAAGAACACCCGUGGCGAAGGCGGCACUCUGGGACGGUACUGACGCUGAGACGGCGAAAAGCGUGGGGAGCGAACAGG